GGGCGUUUGGUCUAGGGGUAUGAUUUUCGCUUCGCAUUAAGCGUGUGUUUGUGAAAGGUCCGGGGUUCAAAUCCCCGAACGUCCA
This is a non-coding RNA of Exophiala dermatitidis NIH/UT8656, 85 nucleotides long. The record is from the annotation of a RefSeq genome assembly. Lineage: Eukaryota; Fungi; Ascomycota; Eurotiomycetes; Chaetothyriales; Herpotrichiellaceae.